GACCGGGCCCUGUGCGACAGGAGACUGCAAACCCCGCCAGAUCCGGAAGGAAGCAACGGUAAGCAAUCUCUCCUGGGUGCCGCAGGUCGCCUGGUCUUC
Molecule: signal recognition particle RNA, 99 nt
Filed under: Nitrospirota bacterium
Lineage: Bacteria; Pseudomonadati; Nitrospirota
Description: Nitrospirae bacterium (sediment metagenome) signal recognition particle sRNA small type
Rfam family: Bacterial small signal recognition particle RNA
About the family: The signal recognition particle (SRP) is a universally conserved ribonucleoprotein involved in the co-translational targeting of proteins to membranes.
Source: RNAcentral